This 433-nucleotide ribosomal RNA is filed under the name uncultured bacterium. Its description in RNAcentral is "partial 16S ribosomal RNA". It matches the Rfam family "Bacterial small subunit ribosomal RNA", at positions 29 to 507 of the family's 1533-position model. The record is from RNAcentral.
AACGAACGCUGGCGGCAUGCCUAACACAUGCAAGUCGAACGAGACCUUCGGGUCUAGUGGCGCACGGGUGCGUAACGCGUGGGAACCUGCCCUUAGGUUCGGAAUAACUCCCCGAAAGGGGUGCUAAUACCGGAUAAUGUCUUCGGACCAAAGAUUUAUCGCCUUUGGAUGGGCCCGCGUUGGAUUAGCUAGUUGGUAGGGUAAAAGCCUGCCAAGGCGACGAUCCAUAGCUGGUCUGAGAGGAUGAUCAGCCACACUGGGACUGCGACACGGCCCAGACUCCUACGGGAGGCAGCAGUGGGGAAUAUUGGACAAUGGGCGAAAGCCUGAUCCAGCAAUGCCGCGUGAGUGAUGAAGGCCUUAGGGUUGUAAAGCUCUUUUACCCGGGAUGAUAAUGACAGUACCGGGAGAAUAAGCUCCGGCUAACUCCGUG